Molecule: long non-coding RNA, 236 nt
Filed under: Carica papaya (papaya)
Lineage: Eukaryota; Viridiplantae; Streptophyta; Magnoliopsida; Brassicales; Caricaceae
Description: long non-coding RNA (CPAP_LNC011986)
Source: RNAcentral
UCGUUCUUUCUGAUUGUCUAUCAGUCUAAAGGUGGAAUGUGGUAUUAAGAGAAAAUUUCAUUUCUAUGACUUGCUGAAAACUAGACUAGAACCGAGAAGUGAACCUGGGGUCCUUGUCAGAUACUACUGUCGCUGACACUCCAUGUAACCACUACUGUCACCGACACUCUAUGUAACCUGACUAUCUCUCGAAUAUACAUUCUUACUAACUUAUCCAAGGGAUCGGUCAUCUUGAU